AUCUGCGAAUCCAACCAAGCCUUAGUCCCCAGAAGCCCAUCGAGACCGUCUUCACGCGUGCGACCCGGCGUUUCCUCUGCCGCCGGGCGCUUGCCGGCCGCCGCCGCCGCCGUCGCCGGGUCGCCUCGUCCUGGUUCCUGGUGUAUCCCCUGUCCAUCAGGCUAUAUGCUGCAAAAUGGCGCAACCUUCUGUCAUCCUAGCAACCGCAAGUUAUGAUCACACAAUCAGAUUUUGGGAAGCCAAGAGUGGUCGCUAUUACUGCACGAUUCAAUACCCUGACUCUCAAGUUAAUCGCCUUGAGAUAACCCCAGACAAGAGAUUUUUAGCUGCUGCUGGCAAUCCUCAUAUCCGCCUUUUGACGUCAACUCAAAUAGCCCUCAACCGGUAAUUAGCUAUGAUUCGCAUACUAGUAAUGUGAUGGCCGUGGGUAUUCCAUUGUGAUGGCAAUUGGAUGCACUCUGGUUCUGAGGAUGGUACUGUGAGAAUCUGGGAUUUACGGACUUUGGCCAAGGACCCAAGGUAAUCGUCAACCGGACCAAGAUCCUGUGUUGCGGGUUUAUGGCAGGAGAUUCAAAUGAUUAGUAGAUCCUUUACUUAUGUAAUCUCCUCUUUUGUUAAGCUUGAGGCAAACUUGUUAGCACGCUGUUGUGCUUAAAAGUCCUCACCGGGGAGUCGCGUGUGUACCUGGGUUAACGAGAUCCGGACUGAGUUGUGGAAUUAGCUACCAAGGAUUCACUUUGUAGGAACAAUGCUUGUAAUCUUCUGCCUAGUUUAGGCCAUAAUCAACACGCAACUGUCGCCUGAGACAAAGGGCAACGUUCCCCGCAAAAGAAAAAAAAGAGGUCUUUAGCUUCAUCUUGGUGAUGAUUAUACCACCUCCGUAUCAAAAUAUUUGUCGUUGUUGACUUUUGGUCACGACGCUCGACUAUUCAUCUUAUUAAAAAUAUUAUAUGUGUCAUUUAUUUUAUUUGUGGCUUACUCUUAUUUUAAGCAUGACUUAUCUUUUUUACAUUUGCAAUAAAUUUUUGAAUAAAAUGAACGGUCAAACGUUGCAUGAAAAAGUCAACAACGACAAAUAUUUCGAUACGAUGGUUGUCAAUAUCUCAAUUAUGCCAUCCGAUCUUGAAACUUCACAAUCAGAAUCGGUGCGCUUGGUUGCGUAUUUUUCAUGAUGAUCCUGCCGAUUGCGAUCCUACCUAAACACCUUCCAUUCAACUUAAAAUCUAGGACUUUGAGACAAGACGACUCAUACACACAGCUUCGGACCAACGUGUGGUAAUAGUAGUAGCCCUGCUCAUCGGUUUGAAAAAAAACCGACUGCCGGACCGUACCCGGUCCGGAUGGAACCGUCAUCCUGGUGCCUGACAUGGUUUGGGUUCGGACCGCUCUGAACCCGGACAAAAUAAGGAGAAAAUUGUCGGUUUGCGGGUUCUACCCGGAAAACCCGGCGGCGGCGGCGGCGGCGGUGGCGAAGCGGCCGCGUGACGGCAUGGCUCGAGGCUUGAGAUGGAGUGGGGCGCAGGCGGCCGAAGCAUCACGAGAGUAGUGGCGGAGGUUUCCUGUCUCGCUAGGUGGACGAGGACUCACCCUAGCGUCUCGCAACGGAUCUCGACGCUAACAUCUGAAGCUUUCAAGGUUCUCUCUCAGCUCUCGAUCCGACUGAACUGAACAAGCAGAUUUGACUGACUUGGAAGCAUAAUAUUUUCAUUCAAGUAUGUCAAAAAUUCAUGGUGUUGCCAAACCAAAGGCUGCAACAUCUGGCUUGGUCUAUCAGUUUGACGUUUUCUUGGAUCUCAUUUUAAUGUUAAUCACGAGCUGCUCGGCCAAUUCAUUUCUUUUUUGCUUUUUGUUUAUUCAUGAUAGUGUAUAGCUGCAGUUGUAAAGCAGCUGCCCUAGUCUUCCUGCACAGACAUAUGUAUUUUAGAGAAUUUCUACAAAAAAUGUACCAUUUUAGGCAAUGAAUUCUAGAUGUUUUUGGAGAGCUCAAAGCCAUGUUCAUAAUU
Long non-coding RNA from Setaria italica (foxtail millet), 2003 nucleotides. RefSeq lists it as uncharacterized. The record is from RefSeq and is a predicted model, not a curated record. Lineage: Eukaryota; Viridiplantae; Streptophyta; Magnoliopsida; Poales; Poaceae. The transcript has 6 exons.